Molecule: ribosomal RNA, 305 nt
Filed under: uncultured bacterium
Lineage: Bacteria
Description: bacterial SSU rRNA
Rfam family: Bacterial small subunit ribosomal RNA
Source: RNAcentral
CCCUACGGGGGGCAGCAGUGGGGAAUAUUGCACAAUGGGGGAAACCCUGAUGCAGCAACGCCGCGUGAAGGAAGACGGUUUUCGGAUUGUAAACUUCUUUUCUUAGUGAAGAAGCAAGUGACGGUAGCUAAGGAAUAAGCAUCGGCUAACUACGUGCCAGCAGCCGCGGUAAUACGUAGGAUGCGAGCGUUAUCCGGAUUUAUUGGGUUUAAAGGGUGCGUAGGCGGGAUGCCAAGUCAGCGGUAAAAAUGCGGUGCUCAACGCCGUCGAGCCGUUGAAACUGGCGUUCUUGAGUGGGCGAGACG